RNAcentral lists this transfer RNA (64 nucleotides) under Spirobranchus giganteus. RNAcentral describes it as "tRNA-Asn". The record is from RNAcentral. Lineage: Eukaryota; Metazoa; Annelida; Polychaeta; Sabellida; Serpulidae.
UAAGGCGAAGCCAAUGUAAUGGCCUCUGACUGUUAAUCAGGUGUAAGUCUUUUGACCGCCUUAG